GACGAACGCUGACGGCGUGCUUAACACAUGCAAGUCGAACGGUGAAGCGCCUUCCUUUUUGGUGGGUGUGGAUGAGUGGCGAACGGGUGAGUAACACGUGAGUAACCUGCCCCCUUCUUCUGGAUAACCGCAUGAAAGUGUGGCUAAUACGGGAUAUUCUGGGUCUGUCGCAUGAUGGGUCUGGGAAAGAUAUUGUUUCGGUGGGGGAUGGGCUCGCGGCCUAUCAGCUUGUUGGUGGGGUGAUGGCCUACCAAGGCGGUGACGGGUAGCCGGCCUGAGAGGGUGGACGGUCACACUGGGGCUGAGACACGGCCCAGACUCCUACGGGAGGCAGCAGUGGGGAAUAUUGCACGAUGGGCGCAAGGCUGAUGCAGCGACGCCGCGUGAGGGAUGGAGGCCUUCGGGUUGUGAACCUCUUUCGCCAGUGAAGCAGGCCUGCCUCGUUUGUGGGUGGGUUGACGGUAGCUGGAUAAGAAGCGCCGGCUAACUACGUG
This 494-nucleotide ribosomal RNA is filed under the name uncultured bacterium. RNAcentral describes it as "partial 16S ribosomal RNA". It matches the Rfam family "Bacterial small subunit ribosomal RNA", at positions 28 to 507 of the family's 1533-position model. The record is from RNAcentral.